UGAGUGCGAGCUGCUACGGCAGCGAAGUUGGUGAUGUCAUGCUUCCAAGAAAAGCCCUAUACCCGUUAAGGCAUCAUGGCCUGUACCCGAAACCGACACAGGUGGGGUGGUAGAGAAUACCGAGGGGCGCGAGGUAACUCUCUCUAAGGAACUCGGCAAAAUGGCCCCGUAACUUCGGGAGAAGGGGUGCCACCGCAAGGUGGUCGCAGUGAAGAGGCCCAGGCGACUGUUUACCAAAAACACAGGUCUCCGCUAAGUCGCAAGACGAUGUAUGGGGGCUGACGCCUGCCCAGUGCCGGAAGGUUAAGGAAGCUGGUCAGCGCAAGCGAAGCUAGCGACUGAAGCCCCGGUGAACGGCGGCCGUAACUAUAACGGUCCUAAGGUAGCGAAAUUCCUUGUCGGGUAAGUUCCGACCCGCACGAAAGGCGUAACGAUCUGGGCGCUGUCUCGGAGAGAGGCUCGGCGAAAUAGAAUUGUCUGUGAAGAUGCGGACUACGUGCACCCGGACAGAAAGACCCUAUGAAGCUUUACUGUAGCUUGGUAUUGUGCCCGGGCUCGCAAUGCGCAGGAUAGGUGGGAGGCUUUGAUCAUCGGCUUGCGGGUCGAUGUGAGCCAACGGUGAGAUACCACUCUUUGCGAGCUAGGGUUCUAACGGCCACCCGUCAUCCGGGGGCCGGACAGUACCUGGUGGGCAGUUUGACUGGGGCGGUCGCCUCCUAAAAGGUAACGGAGGCGCGCAAAGGUUUGCUCAGGCUGGUUGGAAAUCAGCCGACGAGUGUAAAAGCAGAAGCAAGCUUGACUGUGAGACCAACAAGUCGAACAGGGAGGAAACUCGGCUUUAGUGAUCCGACGGUUCUGAGUGGAAGGGCCGUCGCUCAACGGAUAAAAGUUACUCUAGGAUAACAGGCUGAUCUCCCCCAAGAGUUCACAUCGACGGGGAGGUUUGGCACCUCGAUGUCGGCUCAUCGCAACCUGGGGCUGAAGUCGGUCCCAAGGGUUGGGCUGUUCGCCCAUUAAAGCGGUACGCGAGCUGGGUUCAGAACGUCGUGAGACAGUUCGGUCCAUAUCCGGUGCACGCGCAGGAAUAUUGAGAGGAUUUCUCCCUAGUACGAGAGGACCGGGAGGAACGCACCUCUGGUGUACCAGUUAUCGUGCCAACGGUAAACGCUGGGUAGCCAUGUGCGGAGUGGAUAACCGCUGAAAGCAUCUAAGUGGGAAGCCCACCUCAAGAUGAGUAUUCCCAUGGCGUAAGCCAGUAAGGUCACGGGAAGAACACCCGUUGAUAGGCUCUAUGUGGAAGCGCAGUAAUGCGUGAAGCAGAGGAGUACUAAUAGACCGAGGGCUUGAC
This 1348-nucleotide ribosomal RNA is filed under the name metagenome. Its description in RNAcentral is "bacterial LSU rRNA". It matches the Rfam family "Bacterial large subunit ribosomal RNA", at positions 1564 to 2925 of the family's 2925-position model. The record is from RNAcentral.